This 500-nucleotide ribosomal RNA is filed under the name uncultured bacterium. RNAcentral's name for it is "partial 16S ribosomal RNA". It matches the Rfam family "Bacterial small subunit ribosomal RNA", at positions 30 to 523 of the family's 1533-position model. The record is from RNAcentral.
AUUGAACGCUGGCGGAAUGCUUUACACAUGCAAGUCGAACGGGAGCACGGACUUCGGUCUGGUAGCGAGUGGCGAACGGGUGAGUAAUGUAUCGGAACGUGCCCAGUCGUGGGGGAUAACGUAGUGAAAAUUACGCUAAUACCGCAUACGAUCUAUGGAUGAAAGCGGGGGAUCGCAAGACCUCGCGCGAUUGGAGCGGCCGAUAUCAGAUUAGGUAGUUGGUGGGGUAAAGGCCCACCAAGCCAACGAUCUGUAGCUGGUCUGAGAGGACGACCAGCCAGACUGGAACUGGGGCACGGUCCAGACUCCUACGGGAGGCAGCAGUGGGGAAUUUUGGACAAUGGGCGAAAGCCUGAUCCAGCCAUUCCGCGUGCAGGAUGAAGGCCCUCGGGUUGUAAACUGCUUUUGUACAGAACGAAAAGGUUUCUACUAAUACUAGGAGCUCAUGACGGUACUGUAAGAAUAAGCACCGGCUAACUACGUGCCAGCCGCCGCCGUAA